GGAGUCCUACGGGAGGCAGCAGUAGGGAAUCUUCCACAAUGGACGAAAGUCUGAUGGAGCAACGCCGCGUGAGUGAAGAAGGGUUUCGGCUCGUAAAGCUCUGUUGGUAGGGAAGAAAGAUAGAGGUAGUAACUGGCCUUUAUUUGACGGUAAUUACUUAGAAAGUCACGGCUAACUACCUGCCAGCAGCCGCGGUAAUACGUAGGUGGCAAGCGUUGUCCGGAUUUAUUGGGCGUAAAGCGAGGGCAGGCGGUUCAAAAA
RNAcentral lists this ribosomal RNA (261 nucleotides) under uncultured bacterium. Its description in RNAcentral is "partial 16S ribosomal RNA". It matches the Rfam family "Bacterial small subunit ribosomal RNA", at positions 333 to 586 of the family's 1533-position model. The record is from RNAcentral.